This 447-nucleotide ribosomal RNA is filed under the name uncultured bacterium. RNAcentral's name for it is "partial 16S ribosomal RNA". It matches the Rfam family "Bacterial small subunit ribosomal RNA", at positions 29 to 507 of the family's 1533-position model. The record is from RNAcentral.
AACGAACGCUGGCGGCAUGCCUAACACAUGCAAGUCGAACGAUGCCUUCGGGCAUAGUGGCGCACGGGUGCGUAACGCGUGGGAAUCUGCCCUUGGCUUCGGAAUAACAGUUAGAAAUGACUGCUAAUACCGGAUGAUGUCCCCCUGAGAGAUCUUGGGGACCAAAGAUUUAACGGCCAGGGAUGAGCCCGCGUAGGAUUAGGUAGUUGGUGGGGUAAAGGCCUACCAAGCCGACGAUCCUUAGCUGGUCUGAGAGGAUGAUCAGCCACACUGGGACUGAGACACGGCCCAGACUCCUACGGGAGGCAGCAGUGGGGAAUAUUGGACAAUGGGGGGAACCCUGAUCCAGCAAUGCCGCGUGAGUGAUGAAGGCCUUAGGGUUGUAAAGCUCUUUUACCAGGGAUGAUAAUGACAGUACCUGGAGAAUAAGCUCCGGCUAACUCCGUG